CCUACGGGCGGCAGCAGUGGGGAAUUUUGCGCAAUGGGGGCAACCCUGACGCAGCAACGCCGCGUGAGUGAUGAAGGUCUUCGGGUCGUAAAGCUCUGUCAGAGGGGAAGAAAUGCAGGUGGUGAACAACCAUUCUGUUUGACGGUACCCUCAAAGGAAGCACCGGCUAACUCCGUGCCAGCAGCCGCGGUAAUACGGAGGGUGCGAGCGUUGUUCGGAAUUAUUGGGCGUAAAGCGCGUGUAGGCGGUUUGUUAAGUCUGAGGGAAAAGCCCCGGGCUCAACCUGGGAAGUGCAUUGGAUACUGGCAGACUUGAGUACGGGAGAGGAGAGUGGAAUUCCCAGUGUAGGAGUGAAAACCGUAGAUAUGGGGAGGAACACCGGGGGCGAAGGCGGCUCUCGGGACCGAUACUGACGCUGAGACGCGAAAGCGGGGGGAGCAAACAGGAUUAGAUCCCCCGGUAGU
This 464-nucleotide ribosomal RNA is filed under the name uncultured Geobacteraceae bacterium. RNAcentral describes it as "partial 16S ribosomal RNA". It matches the Rfam family "Bacterial small subunit ribosomal RNA", at positions 338 to 794 of the family's 1533-position model. Lineage: Bacteria; Pseudomonadati; Thermodesulfobacteriota; Desulfuromonadia; Geobacterales; Geobacteraceae. The record is from RNAcentral.